RNAcentral lists this transfer RNA (73 nucleotides) under Marchantia polymorpha subsp. ruderalis. Its description in RNAcentral is "tRNA-Glu". It matches the Rfam family "tRNA". Rfam says of the family: Transfer RNA (tRNA) molecules are approximately 80 nucleotides in length. Their secondary structure includes four short double-helical elements and three loops (D, anti-codon, and T loops). Lineage: Eukaryota; Viridiplantae; Streptophyta; Marchantiopsida; Marchantiales; Marchantiaceae. The record is from RNAcentral.
UCCGAUGUAGUCUAGCUGGUUAGGAAACUCGGCUCUCACCCGAGCGACCCGGGUUCAAGUCCCGGCAUCGGAG